UGUGUUAGUGGAAGCGUCUGGAAAGGCGUGCGAUACAGGGUGACAGCCCCGUACACAAAAAUGCACAUACUGUGAGCUCGAUGAGUAGGGCGGGACACGUGGUAUCCUGUCUGAAUAUGGGGGGACCAUCCUCCAAGGCUAAAUACUCCUGACUGACCGAUAGUGAACCAGUACCGUGAGGGAAAGGCGAAAAGAACCCCGGCGAGGGGAGUGAAAAAGAACCUGAAACCGUGUACGUACAAGCAGUGGGAGCACGCUUAGGCGUGUGACUGCGUACCUUUUGUAUAAUGGGUCAGCGACUUAUAUUCUGUAGCAAGGUUAACCGAAUAGGGGAGCCGAAGGGAAACCGAGUCUUAACUGGGCGUUAAGUUGCAGGGUAUAGACCCGAAACCCGGUGAUCUAGCCAUGGGCAGGUUGAAGGUUGGGUAACACUAACUGGAGGACCGAACCGACUAAUGUUGAAAAAUUAGCGGAUGACUUGUGGCUGGGGGUGAAAGGCCAAUCAAACCGGGAGAUAGCUGGUUCUCCCCGAAAGCUAUUUAGGUAGCGCCUCGUGAAUUCAUCUCCGGGGGUAGAGCACUGUUUCGGCAAGGGGGUCAUCCCGACUUACCAACCCGAUGCAAACUGCGAAUACCGGAGAAUGUUAUCACGGGAGACACACGGCGGGUGCUAACGUCCGUCGUGAAGAGGGAAACAACCCAGACCGCCAGCUAAGGUCCCAAAGUCAUGGUUAAGUGGGAAACGAUGUGGGAAGGCCCAGACAGCCAGGAUGUUGGCUUAGAAGCAGCCAUCAUUUAAAGAAAGCGUAAUAGCUCACUGGUCGAGUCGGCCUGCGCGGAAGAUGUAACGGGGCUAAACCAUGCACCGAAGCUGCGGCAGCGACGCUUAUGCGUUGUUGGGUAGGGGAGCGUUCUGUAAGCCUGUGAAGGUGUGCUGUGAGGUAUGCUGGAGGUAUCAGAAGUGCGAAUGCUGACAUAAGUAACGAUAAAGCGGGUGAAAAGCCCGCUCGCCGGAAGACCAAGGGUUCCUGUCCAACGUUAAUCGGGGCAGGGUGAGUCGACCCCUAAGGCGAGGCCGAAAGGCGUAGUCGAUGGGAAACAGGUUAAUAUUCCUGUACUUGGUGUUACUGCGAAGGGGGGACGGAGAAGGCUAUGUUGGCCGGGCGACGGUUGUCCCGGUUUAAGCGUGUAGGCUGGUUUUCCAGGCAAAUCCGGAAAAUCAAGGCCGAG
Molecule: ribosomal RNA, 1229 nt
Filed under: Escherichia coli
Lineage: Bacteria; Pseudomonadati; Pseudomonadota; Gammaproteobacteria; Enterobacterales; Enterobacteriaceae
Description: partial 23S ribosomal RNA
Rfam family: Bacterial large subunit ribosomal RNA
Source: RNAcentral